UCUCCUCCUCCACCAACAACAUGUUCUCUCUCCAUCUCCCCUAAAACAUUCUCCACCACCACCUGUCCACUCACCUCCUCCACCAAUUUACUCUCCACCACCACCAGUUAACUCCCCACCACCCCCCGUGUCCUCACCACCUCCACCUGUCUACUCUCCACCACCAUCACCAAUCAAUUCUCCUCCUCCACCAACACCUGUUCUCUCUCCAUCUCCCCUAAUACAUUCUCCACCACCACCUGUCCACUCACCUCCUCCACCAAUUUACUCUCCACCACCACCAGUUAACUCCCCACCACCCCCCGUGUCCUCACCGCCUCCACCAGUCUACUCUCCACCACCACCACUAAUCAACUCUCCUCCUCCACCAACACUUGUUCUCUCCCCAUCUCCCCCAAUACAUUCUCCACCACCACCUGUUCACUCACCUCCUCCACCAGUUUACUCUCCACCACCACCAGUUUACUCUCCACCACCAACAUGGGAUGAUGUUGUCCUCCCACCCCACUUUGGAUCUUCAUACCAGUCACCUCCUCCACCAACAAUUGCUGGCUA
This 555-nucleotide long non-coding RNA is filed under the name Glycine max (soybean). Its description in RNAcentral is "long non-coding RNA (GMAX_LNC001519)". The record is from RNAcentral. Lineage: Eukaryota; Viridiplantae; Streptophyta; Magnoliopsida; Fabales; Fabaceae.